RNAcentral lists this ribosomal RNA (404 nucleotides) under uncultured bacterium. Its description in RNAcentral is "bacterial SSU rRNA". It matches the Rfam family "Bacterial small subunit ribosomal RNA", at positions 29 to 416 of the family's 1533-position model. The record is from RNAcentral.
AACGAACGCUGGCGGCGUGCCUAACACAUGCAAGUCGAACGAGAAAGGGGCUUCGGCUCCGAGUAAAGUGGCGCACGGGUGAGUAACACGUAGGUAACCUGCCUCUAAGAUUGGGAUAACUUGUCGAAAGACGAGCUAAUACCAAAUAAGACCACGGUCUCCUCGGGGACAGAGGUCAAAGGUAGCCUCUAUUUAUAAGCUAUCGCUGAGAGAUGGGCCUGCGUACCAUUAGCUUGUUGGNGAGGUAACGGCUCACCAAGGCAAAGAUGGUUAGCUGGUCUGAGAGGAUGAUCAGCCACACUGGGACUGAGAAACGGCCCAGACUCCUACGGGAGGCAGCAGUGAGGAAUUUUCCGCAAUGGGCGCAAGCCUGACGGAGCGACGCCGCGUGUGGGAAGAAGGCC